This 439-nucleotide ribosomal RNA is filed under the name uncultured bacterium. RNAcentral describes it as "partial 16S ribosomal RNA". It matches the Rfam family "Bacterial small subunit ribosomal RNA", at positions 339 to 795 of the family's 1533-position model. The record is from RNAcentral.
CUACGGGACGCAGCAGUGGGGAAUAUUGCACAAUGGAGGAAACUCUGAUGCAGCAACGCCGCGUGGAGGAUGACACUUUUCGGAGCGUAAACUCCUUUUAUAUAGGAAGAAGAUGACGGUACUAUAUGAAUAAGCGCCGGCUAACUCCGUGCCAGCAGCCGCGGUAAUACGGAGGGCGCAAGCGUUACUCGGAAUCACUGGGCGUAAAGAGCGUGUAGGCGGAUUAAAAAGUCAGAAGUGAAAUCCUAUAGCUUAACUAUAGAACUGCUUCUGAAACUCUUAAUCUAGAAAAUGGGAGAGGUAGAUGGAAUUUCUGGUGUAGGGGUAAAAUCCGUAGAGAUCAGAAGGAAUACCGAUUGCGAAGGCGGUCUACUAGAACAUUAUUGACGCUGAGACGCGAAAGCGUGGGGAGCAAACAGGAUUAGAUACCCGUGUAGUC